CACUAGAUAGCUAAAUCAGGGCACAGCGUUAGCCUUUUAAGCUAAAGACAGGUGGCUCCCAACCACCUCUAGUGA
RNAcentral lists this transfer RNA (75 nucleotides) under Ariosoma shiroanago (shiro-anago). RNAcentral describes it as "tRNA-Lys". It matches the Rfam family "tRNA". Rfam says of the family: Transfer RNA (tRNA) molecules are approximately 80 nucleotides in length. Their secondary structure includes four short double-helical elements and three loops (D, anti-codon, and T loops). Further hydrogen bonds mediate the characteristic L-shaped molecular structure. tRNAs have two regions of fundamental functional importance: the anti-codon, which is responsible for specific mRNA codon recognition, and the 3' end, to which the tRNAs corresponding amino acid is attached (by aminoacyl-tRNA synthetases). tRNAs cope with the degeneracy of the genetic code in two manners: having more than one tRNA (with a specific anti-codon) for a particular amino acid; and 'wobble' base-pairing, i.e. permitting non-standard base-pairing at the 3rd anti-codon position. The record is from RNAcentral. Lineage: Eukaryota; Metazoa; Chordata; Actinopteri; Anguilliformes; Congridae.